AGUGAACGCUGGCGGUAGGCCUAACACAUGCAAGUCGAACGGCAGCACAGUAAGAGCUUGCUCUUACGGGUGGCGAGUGGCGGACGGGUGGGGAAUACAUCGGAAUCUACUUUUUCGUGGGGGAUAACGUAGGGAAACUUACGCUAAUACCGCAUACGACCUACGGGUGAAAGCAGGGGAUCUUCGGACCUUGCGCGAUUGAAUGAGCCGAUGUCGGAUUAGCUAGUUGGCGGGGUAAAGGCCCACCAAGGCGACGAUCCGUAGCUGGUCUGAGAGGAUGAUCCGCCACACUGGAACUGAGACACGGUCCAGACUCCUACGGGAGGCAGCAGUGGGGAAUAUUGGACAAUGGGCGCAAGCCUGAUCCAGCCAUACCGCGUGGGUGAAGAAGGCCUUCGGGUUGUAAAGCCCUUUUGUUGGGAAAGAAAAGCAGCAGGUUAAUACCCCGCUGUUCUGACGGUACCCAAAGAAUAAGCACCGGCUAACUUCGUG
Molecule: ribosomal RNA, 492 nt
Filed under: uncultured bacterium
Lineage: Bacteria
Description: partial 16S ribosomal RNA
Rfam family: Bacterial small subunit ribosomal RNA
Source: RNAcentral